CCAAGGUCGUUGACAGACGAUCGACAAUCGCGCACGAACGGGGGAAGCCGGUCGAAAUCCGGCGCUGACCCGCAACGGUAGGUCCCCCGGGACGAGCCCGAACACCCGUCGCGCGUGCCACGCUCCU
Molecule: non-coding RNA, 127 nt
Organism: Saccharothrix sp. ALI-22-I
Lineage: Bacteria; Bacillati; Actinomycetota; Actinomycetes; Pseudonocardiales; Pseudonocardiaceae
Source: Rfam